GACGAACGCUGGCGGCGUGCUUAACACAUGCAAGUCGAACGGUGAAGCGCUUGCCUUUUUGGUGGGUGUGGAUGAGUGGCGAACGGGUGAGUAACACGUGAGUAACCUGCCCUCUUCUUCUGGAUAACCUCAUGAAAGUGGGGCUAAUACGGGGUAUUCCGGGUCUGUCGCAUGGCGGGUUUGGGAAAGAUUGCGCCUUUGGGUGUUUUCGGUGGGGGAUGGGCUCGGGGCCUAUCAGCUUGUUGGGGGGGGGAUGGCCUACCAAGGCGGUGACGGGUAGCCGGUCUGAGAGGGUGGACGGCCACACUGGGACUGAGACACGGCCCAGACUCCUGCGGGAGGCAGCAGUGGGGAAUAUUGCACAAUGGGCGCAAGCCUGAUGCAGCGACGCCGCGUGAGGGAUGGAGGCCUUCGGGUUGUGAACCUCUUUCGCCAGUGAAGCAGGCCUGCUCCUGUGUGGGUGGGUUGACGGUAGCUGGAUAAGAAGCGCCGGCUAACUACGUG
RNAcentral lists this ribosomal RNA (504 nucleotides) under uncultured bacterium. RNAcentral's name for it is "partial 16S ribosomal RNA". It matches the Rfam family "Bacterial small subunit ribosomal RNA", at positions 28 to 507 of the family's 1533-position model. The record is from RNAcentral.